UAUAGUAUAAUCGUGUUCUCUUGUUCGUUUACCAGUAGAGUAAAAAAGUCAAAACGAAUCUGCGAGCGACUAAAAUCUCUAUACUUUAUUUGCAAUGGAAUUUAAUUAAUAACAUUUUUUCAAAAGGGAUAUGCAAUGUGUUUGAAUUGAUCUGCGAUCAUGAUACACAUUAUUGAUGUUUUUCUUCGUUUAUUAUUCAUGAUAAUCAAACAUAGGUGUCACUAGAGGUACCAGCUGGCAAACUGAUCGAGAAUUUUUCUCACCUUAUAGUCGCGCUGCUCUGUCUUCUUUCUGGUUCUAGGUAGUGAGAACAUCAAAAUAUAGUAUAAAGGGAACGUCAGCUUCUGUAAAUAGACUUUCAAUGUCAGCGAUGGUGUCUGAGCAGUAGCCGUAUAGUCAUCGAUUCGGCCGCCCGUACGACCCGCGCCCCGAAUUCAAUCCCAAUAUAAGUAUUUAAGUAAGAGCCAACAGCAAAAAGAUGUCUUUCCAGCCUAUUCUCAAUCCCGAACUGCCUUAUGUUGGCGAGGUGGAAGGAGGUGUUACACCUGGAAAAAUGUUGAAAAUUCAAGGCAAAGUUCCAGAGGACUCGAGACGCUUUGCCAUUAAUUAUCAGUUGGGUUCCAAUUUGAAUCCAAGAGAUGACAUUGCCAUUCAUGUUUCACCUCGUUUUACCGAAGGAUUCAUCACGAGAAAUCACAUUGAAUCUAUGAAUUGGGGUCCGGAGGAAAAUGAUGGUCCAAUGUGGAUUCAGCCUGGCACACCCUUUGAAAUCAUUGUAUUAUGCGAGUAUCACUGCUACAAAAUUGCUGUUAAUGGUAGACACUUUACGGAGUUUGCUCAUAGGCUGCCUUACAAUAAGAUCACACACCUGGUUAUCGAUGGAGAAGUAGAUAUUUCGUCCAUCUUUUACGAGACUAUUCCUAUUGGUCCUAGGCCUUCCGCACCAGUACCUGAUGUACCUCCUGUUGAUGUUGGACCUCCUCCACCAGGUGGUCUUUACCCAACUCUCAAUCCACAAGGUUUUCCACAAGAAAAGUAUGGACCUCCACCAACUAAUGAUGACUUUAGAAAUAAUCCACCACGGGCAUAUGGAUAUCAACCAGGAGCUCAAAAGGCUGAAGAAGAAGAUGCCUUUGGUGGCUGCUUGGACAAAGUUGGAUUGGCAGUAGGAGGACUUGUUGCGGCAGGAGGAGUGGCAGCAGCCAUGCACGCAUACAAUAAAAAUAAAAAGAAGCAACAAGAGGCAGGUGGCGAAGUCAACCAUGAAAAAAGCGAAGCUUCAGAAAAUGAAAGUGGUUUUGGUGGGCUAGGAGCAUUGGGAGCAGCUCUGGCAAGUAGCUUAGCAUCUAAUGCUUUCCAGGGAGAUAGAAACGCACAUGCACAACAAGGCUAUCCACCUCAAGAUUCAAGUAGUGGAAUGUUGGGAUCUAUUUUGGGAGCUUUAGGUGGUGCGGGCGGUCCUCAGCCAAGCUAUCAACAACAACCACAAUCGGAUCCGCUCGCGGGGCUAGGAGGGCUAGGCUCGAUUCUUGGCGGAGUACUCGGAGGCGGUGGUGCGGGUCACCAACAGCAGCCUCAGUAUCAACCAAGCGGCGGCUAUGGAGGCUAUCAACCUCAAGGUCCGCAAGGAAAUGGUGGCGGCAGCAACGAUUUACUUAGCGGUCUAGGCGGUGCGCUCUUUAAAUCAGCUCUAGACGGUCUGUCCAAACAUGAUAAUAAGUAAAAAGGGAGGAUUUGGCUCAGUCAAAGCCAAGUAUUGAAAAUAAACAGUCUACAUUUUGCUCCAAAAAUCAAAGUCGCACAAACCGCGGUAUGACGACGACGACAACAGUGGUCACUACGCCACAUCACCUCCAGCACCGCCUCCAUCGAGCUACGGCAGCAGACACGGCUACGAAGACGCGCCGCCGUCGCACCCAGCCCCGCGGCCACCAAGUCCGCCGGCUCCGGGCGGCGGUAGGCUCACCGCUGCCGAAAUUUCCAAGGGCCUUGGCCUCUCCGACGGCGAAGACUAAACUUUGCUUUAUAGUUUUAUUUUACCUAUAAAUACUACUACAUUAUGUUGUAACGAAUCUCUCUCUCUCUCUCUCUCUCUCUAAUCGCACUUAGGUAUAAUUACACAAUUGGAAAGCAUUCGAACCGUAGACCUAUUUGAUCGCAGCGAAAGAGUUUCCUUAUUUUCCUUGAAAAUUUCCAGUAAGAUUUUUUUAUCGCACAAUAACAUUAGCAAAAAUAAGAUAAGAAUUCGCGCGCUCUGCAUUUGCCUUGCUUUACUAAAAGCCGCUAAUCGUUUGAUAAUUUUGAAAGCUAUGCAUUUAAAAAAAACCGAACUGAACGCUGCGUAUAUUUAUAGGCAACGAAUGUAGUCUUCUAUAAUUGUUCUAUAUGGGUAAUCAAAAAUCCGAGCGAAACUUCCGCUUUUUUCUCGCAAAAGACCUCAACGAAAUAAAAACUUAGAUCUGCUUUUUUAUUGUAAAACGAAGCUACUAUACAGCUUGUAAAAAGUACAAUCUUAGGCCUUACAUUCAUCUCGUUUAAAGGUUGCAGUUGUUGUUUAUACAGCAAAGAAAUUGUUAUAUAUAAAUUACAUUAUGUACAAAGUCUUAAUGACUCUAAAGAAGGCUUCCCUUCAUUAUGUUAUAUUCGAGUCUAAGUAGACACCAUCACACUUAAAUUAUUUUAUAAAGCGAUGUAUCUAUAUGUAUAUUUUUAUGAGUAUUUUACUGCAGAGCAUAUUGGCUUGGCUAAUUCUAUACAAAUGAUUUUAUAUAGAGCACAGAGAUAUUUGUAUACUAAUACCAGAGGUAAUGUAUUCAUAUACUUAUAUAGAAAACGUUGAAUCUGUCAAAAUAAAUCUAUUAUCCUUA
This is an RNA transcript of Nasonia vitripennis (jewel wasp), 2867 nucleotides long. It is a transcript of the gene named collagen alpha-1(I) chain, with no coding region annotated. NCBI's taxonomy places the organism in Eukaryota, Metazoa, Arthropoda, Insecta, Hymenoptera, Pteromalidae. The transcript is spliced from 7 exons. The record is from RefSeq and is a predicted model, not a curated record.